UACAGAGGGGGCGAGCGUUGUUCGGAAUUACUGGGCGUAAAGGGCGCGUAGGCGGCCUUCUAAGUCGGACGUGAAAUCCCCGGGCUCAACCCGGGAACUGCGUCCGAUACUGGAAGGCUUGAGUCCGGGAGAGGGAUGCGGAAUUCCAGGUGUAGCGGUGAAAUGCGUAGAUAUCUGGAGGAACACCGGUGGCGAAGGCGGCAUUCUGGACCAUUACUGACGCUGAGGAGCGAAAGCCAGGGGAGCAAACGGG
RNAcentral lists this ribosomal RNA (253 nucleotides) under uncultured bacterium. Its description in RNAcentral is "partial 16S ribosomal RNA". It matches the Rfam family "Bacterial small subunit ribosomal RNA", at positions 524 to 776 of the family's 1533-position model. The record is from RNAcentral.